Molecule: ribosomal RNA, 901 nt
Filed under: uncultured soil bacterium
Lineage: Bacteria
Description: bacterial SSU rRNA
Rfam family: Bacterial small subunit ribosomal RNA
Source: RNAcentral
AGAGUUUGAUCCUGGCUCAGAUUGAACGCUGGCGGCAUGGCUAAAACAUGCAAGUCGAACGUGCCCGCAAGGGCAACUGGCGAAAGGGUCAGUAAUACGAUUGAAUGUCCCCCGAGGUGGGGGAUAGCGCUGGGAAACUGGCGGUAAUACCCCAUGAGCUCGAAAGAAGAAAGAUUUAUCGCCUUGGGAGCAGCGAUCGUCCUAUCAGGUAGUUGGGAGGGUAACGGCCCACCAAGCCGAAGACGGGUAUCGGGUGUGAGAGCACGGCCCGCUACAUCGGGACUGAGACACUGCCCGGACUCCUACAGGAGGUUGCCGUACCCAAUCUUCCGCAAUGGGCGCAAGCCUGACCGAGCAGUGCCCCGUGUGGGAUGAACCGCCUUCGGCGUGUAAACCACUGUCUCGGGACGGAACCUAUGAUUGUGCCCUAAGGAAGAGCCGGCUAACCCUGAGCCAGAAACCGCUGUAUCACAGGGGGCUCGAGCGUUAAUCGGAAUCACUGGGCUUAAAGGGUGCGUCAGCGGCCCGCCAAGCAUUCUGUGAGAUCCCCCGGCUCAUCCGGGGAACCGCACAGUGGACUGGCGGACUUGAUGCAAGUACGGGCGGACAUAACACUCCUUGGAGCAGUGAAAUGUAUAGAUAUCGACUGGAAUGCCGAUGGAUGUAGACGGUCCGCUGGGCGUGACCUGACGCUCGUGCACGAUAGCGUGGGGAGCAAACAGGAUUAGAUACCCUGCUAGUCCACACCGUAUACGAUGCACAUUAUACCUGUGCACGAUGUGACGCUAUAUCGGUCUGUCGCUGACUGAUAAAUGUGCCACCUGAGGAGUACAGUCGCACCGCCUAAAGCUCAAAUGACUUGACGGGAGCUCACACAAGCGGUGGAGCAUGCUGCUUAAUU